This 372-nucleotide ribosomal RNA is filed under the name uncultured organism. RNAcentral describes it as "bacterial SSU rRNA". It matches the Rfam family "Bacterial small subunit ribosomal RNA", at positions 526 to 896 of the family's 1533-position model. The record is from RNAcentral.
CGAGGGGGGCAAGUGUUGUUCGGAAUCACUGGGCGUAAAGGGAGCGUAGGCGGAUGUUUAAGUCGGGAGUUUAAAACCGGGGCCCAACCCCGGAGCGGCUCCCGAAACUGGGCAUCUUGAAUAGGUCAGAGGCUGGUGGAAUUGGAGGUGUAGCGGUGGAAUGCGUAGAGAUCUCCAAGAACACCUAUUGCGAAGGCAGCCAGCUGGGACCAUAUUGACGCUGAGGCUCGAAAGCAUGGGGAGCAAAACAGGAUUAGAUACCCUGGUAGUCCAUGCCGUAAACGAUGAACACUAGGUUUUGGGCUCGUCAACGGUCCAGAGCCGCAGCUAACGCGUUAAGUGUUCCGCCUGGGGAAUACGGUCGCAAGACUG